UUUUGUCCAGCAACAUCAUGUUUGCAGGGUAGAAGCAGACUGUGAAGAUGCUUAUCUGCACACACGCUGUUCAGCACAAGUGGAUAUAAAUUUAAAUGUUUCUCCCAUCUCGGCUCAAGUUCACAGAAGUAAACCCAGCGUGUUUACCGUCUGCAAACGGAGCUAACUUUGGUGAUAACACCAAAACCCCCCUGCUAACAGAUUUUGGGGCACUGUGUGAGCUGUGACUUCUGCCUGAGAGUGUGCCCACCCCACCAGGUACAUGGUACACGUGGUGGCAGAGCCGCUGAGCCUCCUGUGCCUGCGGGGCAGCCGCCAACCCUGCAGGCUAGUUUGUGAGGCGGGUGCCUGGGCAGUGUGGGGCGAGCAGCUCAAGUUGUCAGGAGUGCCAGUGUUAGGGUGCAUGGACUGUUUGGCUUGCUAUUGCGUCCUCCUGGGGGGUGAAAAUGCCUUGGCUGCUCCUGGUCCGAACUGCGGGUCUGCUCUGGUGCUGGACGUGGCCGGGGUGGUCUCGUCCCAGGGGGAACGCUGCCUGUCGUGGCCAGCUGGCAAUGUAAGGAGAGGUUUGGUCUGGCACCCCCACGCUCCAUUUAUUGCCUUUCGCUUUGAGAAGCAGGUUUAUGAGCAGUGGGACUGCUUUUCGAAGUGCACCCUGUACAGAGAUGCACGGCUUAACCCCUCAGAGUGAUGCCUGGGCUCUUUCCUUGCUGCAGAGGCCACGUAGCUGUGUUUCAGCUUGGGGUUUCUGACCAGCCCGGGUGGAGAUCCUCAGCUGAAGACCCUGAAGCCAUAAAGGGGCUUGCUCCUCACCAGCUGCUCUGCUUUAACUCUAGGGGUGCGUUUUGGGCUGCUCACUCCUCAGGCUGCCUGGGUGAGGCUGCCUGUGGCCCCCAGAGCUCACCCAGGACUUUUCCUGAUCCAUGUCUCUGUUGUGCAGAGAGCGAGCAUCCAGGCAAGGAGACAUGGCGUCAGCUGUAGGACCUGUAUCAGGGCAGAUCCUUGGUCCUCGCCGCCAGCGGAGUGAAGCGGCCCUUCACCUCUGACCGAGGAGGAUUAGACACAGGCUCACCAGCGCUAAGGGAGAGAUGUGCUGUAAAAAUGCCUCCUGGGCAGUGCAGGCUGCAGCUUUGUGGUGGACGUGACCCCAAUCUGCUUCAGAUGGACUUUUUAUGGUGCUACAUCACCGUGGUGUGCCCCACCUUCCUUCUCUCUCUCAGCCACAAGCAUGCUGGCUCCUAGCUGAACUGUUCCCCUCCUGCUCUUGGUGGUACAUUUCCUUAGCGGCAGCGCACCCCCACGCCUGUUUCCUGUUCAGGGAGGAGUAGGAAGAGCCACCAAGACCAACAGACACCCACGGCAUCUAUAUCAUCACUGGGCUGCGAUGCAUUUAACAUACCGAACAGUAAUUCUCCAUCAUCCCGCACUUGAAUGAUCUGGACCUAUUUAUUACAUUUCCUGAUGUGCUGCUCCGAGAAGCCCUACCUGUGUUUCCCUAUCUCUAUAUAAGCAUUUAAGGGAUUUCGUUACCCAACAGUGACUUUCACAUGAGAGCAAAGAAACACCCUCGUGUUGGUUUAUACUCUGGUGAUGCUCCAGCCCGUACUCUGGGUUAUGUACUCCCUGCUGUAGGGCAAACUGUUUCGCUGUAGGAUGUGGAGCCAUGGGUUUGCACCACUUAGAAGGGAAGUGCUUCCUUGAGACCUCUCCUUUACAGCAGCUUUUGUGCUGCUGGUGACCCGGCAUGCACCGGGGCUGAAGCUUUGCCAUCAGUUUUGGAAAACCUUUGGUUUAUGAGCCUGUGCUUUAGGCAUGUGAAGAAUACAUAAAUGUUUUCAAAGUGAUGGAGCCAAGCACAGAGGUCCACUCCGUACCUCUACCCUAUGUAGCAGGACUUGUAACGUCUAUGAAGGAAAAACCAACGUAUUAAUUUUCUGCUGCUACUGCAUAGUGGGAUUUAUGCAUGCCAUUCCCUUACUGUUAAUUGGAGAUUAUCACAUCAGGGCUCUCAUAUCACUAAUAGAAUAAAUCCUUAAAUCACGAAGCAUUUAAUUGUUGCCAAUUAAAAGGCCUCUUCCUCCUCGUACUUGUGUUGUGGAGCUCUCAAAUGUAAAAGCCCAGGGAGAAGCGGCUCUGGUGACACCGAGGUGGGACGGGGACAGGGCACAUGGCUGCAGAUGGAUGUUGUCAACACAUCGGAGGGAGGAAGGUGGGAAGAGGUAAGUCCUGGUGGGAUACACCCCUACUUUUUUUUCACCUGGUUCCUGUAGUAAUACCCAGAGGUGUUUGGGGAUGGGUGCAUCCCUGGCUGGACAUCGGGGCACUUCUCUUCCUGGGAUAAUUCUGCAGGCCCAGUUUGUCCCAAAAAGGGAUGCUCUAGGCUGGUAUGGGAACGCAGGUUUAUUUACCUGCCUGGCCUGAGAAGUCUCGGAUAUUUAGUGACUCAGAAACUCUCUCUGAGUGCAGUUUUCAAACUUAUCUUUUUGUUAAAACAGAGCCUCGUAGGCCAAAUUUAACACUGAGGCAUCAUAUGGAUCAUAUGGAGGGCUGGGAAUAAAAUUAAUUAAUGCAUGGAUUACAAUGACCUAUAAAUGUCAUUGUUUCAUCUCAAAGAUAUAUUGGUACUGUAAUUUUUACUUAACUCUUUCAAAGGACCACAUGUGAGCACAACUGAAUGGAUACGGAAAUUAUUUAUACAGCAUGUUAAAGGGACAUUAAAGCAUUUCAUAGCAUGUGGUAGGCCUCUCAGUGAGGCGAAAGGCACAGAUCAGCUAUCCAGCUGUGGUGUGCUGCUUUGGCUGUGCCAAAGCCACCAGAUGAUGUACUUUCCUGGCUGUCUCCAAAAUAAAUGCGAGCAGGAGUGGGCUGGAUGCGCAUUCCCGGGUGGG
Cygnus olor (mute swan) is the source of this 2885-nucleotide long non-coding RNA. RefSeq lists it as uncharacterized. Lineage: Eukaryota; Metazoa; Chordata; Aves; Anseriformes; Anatidae. The record is from RefSeq and is a predicted model, not a curated record. The transcript is spliced from 3 exons.